RNAcentral lists this ribosomal RNA (253 nucleotides) under uncultured bacterium. RNAcentral describes it as "partial 16S ribosomal RNA". It matches the Rfam family "Bacterial small subunit ribosomal RNA", at positions 524 to 776 of the family's 1533-position model. The record is from RNAcentral.
GACGAAUCGUGCGAACGUUGUUCGGAAUCACUGGGCUUAAAGGGCGCGUAGGCGGGCGGUCAAGUCAGAGGUGAAAUCCCACGGCUCAACCGUGGAAGUGCCCCUGAUACUGAUCGUCUCGAGGGAGGUAGGGGCGUGCGGAACUUCCGGUGGAGCGGUGAAAUGCGUAGAUAUCGGAAGGAACACCGAUGGCGAAAGCAGCGCGCUGGACCUCUACUGACGCUGAGGCGCGAAAGCCAGGGGAGCAAACGGG